GACACUUCCAUGCCUGUCAAAUGUUACACAAUGUCAUCAAAUGAUUGAAGUUCCAACCUGUUACAGAUUGCCUUCCAGAAAUAUUUGACAGCUAAGGGCAAUGUCAAGUUCUAGCAUUUACUAUAAAAAGCGCAGGUUGUUCUAACAUACCGAGAACACUUGAGCAGCUUGUCUGAGAUAUACGAUAAAAAUGAAGCAAUUCAUAGCAAUUAUUCUGGUCCUCGCCGUUGGUGUUGCCAUGGUAACGUGCCAAUGUGACAGGAAAAAGUGUGGCGGGAGAAGUCCUUCAAUCGGUGAUUGCAGGAGGUCUGACAACGUAUGGCGAUGGAACGGGUUCAGUUGCGAAAAAAUGCCAGUAGCAUGUUACGAUGUAAAACCAAAGCAAAACGCUUUCGACACUAUGCAGGCAUGCCGCAGUCUUUGUGACAAAUAUCAAUGAACAUUUUUUAAAUGAAUUAAUUGACGAUUCUUUCCGUUUAUUUUUGGCUAUUUUAGUCAAACUAUUACACUGAAUACAAUU
Long non-coding RNA from Ruditapes philippinarum (Manila clam), 520 nucleotides. RefSeq lists it as uncharacterized. The transcript is spliced from 2 exons. The record is from RefSeq and is a predicted model, not a curated record. Lineage: Eukaryota; Metazoa; Mollusca; Bivalvia; Venerida; Veneridae.